This 808-nucleotide ribosomal RNA is filed under the name uncultured fungus. Its description in RNAcentral is "eukaryotic LSU rRNA". It matches the Rfam family "Eukaryotic large subunit ribosomal RNA", at positions 30 to 821 of the family's 3401-position model. Lineage: Eukaryota; Fungi. The record is from RNAcentral.
GAACUUAAGCAUAUCAAUAAGCGGAGGAAAAGAAACUAACAAGGAUUCCCCUAGUAACUGCGAGUGAAGCGGGAAAAGCUCAAAUUUAAAAUCUGGCGGUCCCUGUGGUCGUCCGAGUUGUAAUUUAGAGAAGCGUUAUCCGCGCUGGACCGUACACAAGUCUCCUGGAAUGGAGCGUCAUAGAGGGUGAGAAUCCCGUCUUUGGUACGGACUGCCAGGGCAUUGUGAUGCGCUCUCAAAGAGUCGAGUUGUUUGGGAAUGCAGCUCAAAAUGGGUGGUAAAUUCCAUCUAAAGCUAAAUAUUGAGGAGAGACCGAUAGCGAACAAGUACCGUGAGGGAAAGAUGAAAAGAACUUUGGAAAGAGAGUUAAACAGUACGUGAAAUUGCUGAAAGGGAAACGCUUGAAGUCAGUCGCGUCGUCCAGGACUCAGCCUUGCUUUUGCUUGGUGUACUUCUUGUUCGACGGGUCAACAUCAAUUUUGGUCGGUGGAUAAAGGCUUGGAGAAUGUGGCAUCCUCGGAUGUGUUAUAGCUCUAGGUCGCAUACAUCGGCUGGGAUUGAGGAACUCAGCACGCCGCAAGGCCGGGUACUUGUACCACGUACGUGCUUAGGAUGUUGGCAUAAUGGCUUUAAUCGACCCGUCUUGAAACACGGACCAAGGAGUCUAACAUGCCUGCGAGUGUUUGGGUGGAAAACCCGAGCGCGUAAUGAAAGUGAAAGUUGAGAUCCCUGUCGUGGGGAGCAUCGACGCCCGGAGCAGACCUUUUGUGACGCAUCCGCGGUAGAGCAUGUAUGUUGGGACCCGAAA